This 280-nucleotide ribosomal RNA is filed under the name uncultured Staphylococcus sp. RNAcentral's name for it is "partial 16S ribosomal RNA". It matches the Rfam family "Bacterial small subunit ribosomal RNA", at positions 82 to 354 of the family's 1533-position model. The record is from RNAcentral. Lineage: Bacteria; Bacillati; Bacillota; Bacilli; Caryophanales; Staphylococcaceae.
CUCCUUGACGUUAGCGGCGGACGGGUGAGUAACACGUGGGUAACCUACCUAUAAGACUGGGAUAACUUCGGGAAACCGGAGCUAAUACCGGAUAAUAUUUCGAACCGCACGGUUCGAUAGUGAAAGGUGGUUUUGCUAUAACUUAUAGAUGGACCCGCGCCGUAUUAGCUAGUUGGUAAGGUAACGGCUUACCAAGGCGACGAUACGUAGCCGACCUGAGAGGGUGAUCGGCCACACUGGAACUGAGACACGGUCCAGACUCCUACGGGAGGCAGCAGAU